Molecule: non-coding RNA, 1520 nt
Organism: Megalopta genalis
Lineage: Eukaryota; Metazoa; Arthropoda; Insecta; Hymenoptera; Halictidae
Source: RefSeq, a predicted model, not a curated record
UGUUUACAAACAGACGAGUGUCGCAAGGCGUCUCAAGUUAUCCGCUUUCUACCUAGUACCGUCCCGCUGUCGGUUGUCAGACGGUACGCCGUGCAGGGGUUAACGAAAAGUACACGUUACCUUUCACAUCGUUACCUAGAUCAAGCAUACUUGUUCGAGCUACAAGAAAGGGUAAAGUUUUACAUCUCGGUGUUCUCCUCGGCCUCUUCGUCGACUUUCGGCAACAUGUAAACACUAGGAAUCGACGGCACGUGAUCCUCGAGCUUCAAGAUCGGCUUGCAGUCUCUAGUGACGUCUACCUGAUUGAAAGAGUCCUUCAAGAUAUUGAUUUCGUUCUCGUGGGCGAACAGACUGGUAGGUGGUUCUGUUCCGCAUAUGUCGUUCUCGUCGGUGCCGUUCCUGUGGCACAGGUUGCCAGACGGAAAUUGUCACGAGGUCAACGCGAAAGGAUCCGUCGAAAGCUCGUCCACGCUCGGGCUGGCCUUCAUCGGCUCCGGCUUUUCCACCUGAUGGCUGAGUCUAUGGACGAUCUCGUCAUGGAGGAUGUUGAAGCACAUCGCGGCUUUCGAGAGAAUGCGACUCAUCUGGGAAAAAUCUGGAAUCUCUUUUGCAACGUACCCACAAAGGACCAGUCGUCCAACUUGUGCAGAGUAAAAGCGCCUGCCACGAUGUAGCAGAGCAUUGCGCUGAGACAAAUGCUGAUUGGUGCGAGUAUAGUAACGUUUGGCCUGUCACCGGAGCCAAGACUCGACACUUCGUCCUUUGGGCUGGCCUUAAUUUCCACUGUGCUCGUGAACGUUGACGCAUUUGCGCGGACAUAAAAGGGCUCCUGUAACUGCAAUUGCUGUUGCUGCUGAGCCAGUUCUUCCUGUUGCCUUUUCUUUCUCAUUCGUCUCUCCUUCUCCUGGGCCCAUGUCAAUUUAAAAGCAAUUUUAAGAUCGAUCUACGAAGGAAGUGCCAUCGCUUUCUCGUUCUGCUUCGCGAGUUAUCUUUCAAAAUCUAUGUGAACAAGAUCGAUGGGAAAUACUAAACUUCGCGUUCGGUUUCGCAAAGCCGUCAACGAAAAUAUGACAUGCAACUAUUCGGAGCUUGCAUGCAUCUAAGGGCGUUAAAAGUAGGAUUGUAUUUUUUAAAUUGUGGAUUCUUAUCUUUUCAUUUUACAUUUAAUUUUUAAAAAGUCUGAAAUAUGGGCUAGAUACAGCUUAGACAAGAUACUGAUAUCAUUAAAUUGACUUAUUUGACGAGAACUGUUACUCUGAGAAAAGUGUUUAUAUUCAUUGUCAAACAUAACAAUUUUUAGUAUUAACACAGAAUCGCAUUUACGAUUUUCUUGGUAGAAUUUUUAGGAAUAAUUCUUCAAGUAUAGUUACAUCCAUGUAAACAUAAUUUUGUUCUCUUAGGUGCAUGGAAUCCAUUAAACAAAAAGUCGUAAAAAAUUAUUACGCAAGGAAAAUUAAAAAUUGUGUAAAAUGUACAAAAUUAAGUUAAAAAUCGUAGUACUGUGGAGAAUACUUGUUCGC